RNAcentral lists this ribosomal RNA (775 nucleotides) under uncultured Neocallimastigales. RNAcentral's name for it is "partial large subunit ribosomal RNA". It matches the Rfam family "Eukaryotic large subunit ribosomal RNA", at positions 22 to 639 of the family's 3401-position model. The record is from RNAcentral. Lineage: Eukaryota; Fungi; Neocallimastigomycota; Neocallimastigomycetes; Neocallimastigales.
GUACACGCUGUGACUAGCAUAUCAAUAAGCGGAGGAAAAGAAACUAACAAGGAUUCCCCUAGUAACGGCGAGUGAAGCGGGAAGAGCUCAAAUUUGAAAUCUUAAAGGGUUUCCCUUUACGAAUUGUAGUUUGAAGAAGUGUUUUCUGUUGAGGUUUUGGUAAAAGUUCUUUGGAAUAGGACAUCAUAGAGGGUGAGAAUCCCGUAUUUGACCUUUACUUUCAACUUUGUGAUACACUUUCAAAGAGUCGGAUUGUUUGGGAAUGCAGUCCAAAAUGGGUGGUAAAUUUCAUCUAAAGCUAAAUAUUGGCGAGAGACCGAUAGCGAACAAGUACCGUGAGGGAAAGAUGAAAAGAACUUUGAAAAGAGAGUUAAACAGUACGUGAAAUUGUCAAAAGGGAAGCGUUUGACACCAGUGUUGGUUUUCUGAAAAUCAAUUAAAGAACUGUUUAUGCUAAGCUGUUUAGACUUUAUCAGCUAUCUGUUUAGUUUUGAGCUUUUCUUUAAUGCACCUUUUCAGUUAACAAGUCAACAUCAAUUUCUUUUGCUGUAAAAAAGCUUGAGGAAGGUGGCUUGAGAUUCGUCUUAAGUGUUUAUAGCCUCUUGCCUAUGCAGUCGGAGAGAUUGAGGUCUGCAGCGUAGAUCCUUCGGGGCUAAAUGCAUUUGUGCUAAGUUAUAGCAUUUUAUAGACAACCUGUUGACUAUGAUUUGUCUUGUAGCUUACUCGCUUAUGUUAUUUUACCUACGCUUAGGAUGUUGACGCGCGUGUGUGCGUG